RNAcentral lists this long non-coding RNA (3172 nucleotides) under Aquilegia coerulea. Its description in RNAcentral is "long non-coding RNA (ACOE_LNC000089)". Lineage: Eukaryota; Viridiplantae; Streptophyta; Magnoliopsida; Ranunculales; Ranunculaceae. The record is from RNAcentral.
GAAAAUUCAGUUGGAUUUCUUCAAUUGGGGUUGGAUUUAAUCAAUUGGGGUUUGUUGUGCUUCGUAAGGUAAUUUCUUAUUUCAAUUUCAUCAUUUUAUUCCCAACCUGCAUUUUAUUUGUUAGUAGAAGAAUAUAAUCAUAUUAUUGUUACCAUUGGAAAAAAAAUGAGUUGAUUCAACCACUUUUAGAAGUAUCUACUGUGAUUCUAUUAUAUUCCUUACCAAAAUAAAUCAAUUAGAUUGUUGUUCAAGUUAUUAAGAUAGGUUGCUUUCUGUGCUUCCAUUUUAAUCAAAUUAUUUCCUCUAUAAUGGUUGUUUGUUCAUCUUAGUUUGACACAAAAUUUGUUAUAUAAACCUGCUAUACUGUUGUUUGUGAUGAAAAUUUAAUUUUGGAAGUUCGUUAUUCUUUGUUGUAGUUGCACUUGGUGUUGUUGCUAUCAAGUAGUUGAUAUGAUACUCAUUCAUAAUCUAUUCAUGAUUUGUUACUUUAAGGGAAUUAUUUCGUUUUUAUGAUAUGUACAAAGAUAAUAUUGCAUUGCACGCAUGGGAAUUUCUCUUUAUCCUGCAUUAAAGAAAAGUUUAUAGAAUUAUACAUGACCUGUGAGCUAUUUCGAUAAAGAAAGCUCUAAGUGCCAAGGUGGCUAAACCGAGCCUCAACACGACACGUCAAUUGAUUAGGACAUGAUUAAUUAUGAUAAUGCAUUACAAUCAUACAAUAUACAGUGGGACUCCCCUUCGAUCACACAUGAUCAACUACUCUAGAGAGCGACCUAUUUUGAAGAGAUAUCCGACUUGGCCCUAUUACACACUCUAAAAAUAUGAUCUAUAGUCCCACUGGAGUAGAGGGACAUGGUCUUCAUAAUCUCCAAAACAAAGUGCCUAUAAUACAAAGGAGGUUUUUCCCGGUCAUUAAGAAUGUUGGUUGCUCUAAGGGAAUCAGUUCCCACUAAUAUAUUCCUUGAGUCCAAAACAAUUCCCUCCUUCAGAUACACAUCUAUUGCCUUAAACUCUAGUAAUGAUUGAAUUGGAGGUUUAACACUGCCAUGAUUAUCUUCGAAGAGUCUUCCAUAUCCACUUAGUUCUUUGCUCACAGAAUUAUCAAAAUUAAGGGAAAGGACUGAUGGUGGAGCUCUGCAUCUCAGUAAGACGAGUAAGGUAUGUCUAAUGGUUACUAAUUCAUUAAUUAUUGAUCUUUUCAUAUAGUGCAUAUCGUAUAUUUUUGAGUUUAACUUAACGAGUCUUAUUUUCCCAUUUAAAUUUGACUUUAAAUCCAUACCUAAAAAAUAUGUGGCAUAUAUAGAAUUCUUCACUACCUCAACUGAUUCUUAUGCUUGGCAGUGUACUAUUAAUCUAAAUGUUCUUUUCUCUAGUUGCACUUGGUUUUGUUGUAUCACGUAGUAGUUAUUAAGGUUUUUGGUAAAUCUAGUUUUUUUUUAUCAUAUCAAUGAUGAAUGGUCAUCUACACUAUUAAAACUCUGUUAAAUGUAGUCCAUAGACUUUCUUUCUCUGAACAUUUUUUUUGUGUGCCCUAACCCUGGACUGCUAGGUCUAUUGUCUUUAUAUGGGUUGGGUUGUGUGAUCUGGAUUUUUCUGCUAGGUGUUGCAUAUUAAUUUGAUAUAUUGAAUUAUUUUGUUAUUAAUAUUAAUUAUUUUGUGUGUGCAUGUGUAUAUAUAUAGUAUUGCAGAAUGUCGUUACCACCUAAAAAAGACUGUAUGCGUGAAACCAAUAGAUUGAGUGAUGUGUAUUUAAAUGGAGUUUUGAAGAGUUCGUAGAAUUUGCACUAGCACACAACACUGAGAACCUAACUACAUGUACAUGCCCCUGUAAGAAAUAUUGCAAUGGGACUAAGGUGAAGUUUACAGAUUUAAAUACCCAUUUGAUAAGAAACGUGUAGACCCAAUAUAUACUAUAUGGUAUUUUCAUGGUGAAACAACAUCCGAUCAACAUUGAGUAGUAGAAAAUGAAAACAUUGAGGAAGAUGUCAUUGAUGAUGGAGGGCAUGGCAGACUUGGUAUGUGUUUUUUUUUAUUUUUAAUUUAUCUAAUCCCUUUUUAACUCCGCCAAAGCAAACUUAUGAAAACCAUUGCUUUGCCGGUCCCAAGCCCGGACAAAGGAAGAGGGAAAAGCGUAAUAUUAUUGUUAAAUAAGUAUUUAGUUGAAUUGUAAUAUUGUAGUCUAAUUGUAUUAAAAACUAACUUGGCUUUGUUUCUUACACAGACUGCACAUGGUACAAGAUACAAGCGUGAGUAGUGGAUGGUACUAAUUCAUUGCAAUGCAUGUACAGUGUUGUACAUUACAUGAUUCUUUCCAGGUAUGGUCAUAUCUGGAAGUGACAAACAGUUUUUUUUACCUUUGUUAAUUAGGUGCCAAGUUGCUACUUAUGUUGCUCUAAGCACUUCAGACAUUGUCUUUGCAGAACCUGGUCUAUGUGUUGUGUUAACAAGCAGAGUUAUUUUCUACCAUAUAGGCAUGCACGUCGUGAAUCGCCUUAUGCAAACGGGUAUGGUUUUGCUUCAUGUGUUUUAGAACUUUUUCUUUUCCUUCCCAUUCUUUUGGCUAAUGUAUUUUUACCUACUAAUCACAUGGCUUUUGGAUAAAGCAUUUUAUAUACAGAACUGUACUGAGAAUAUCCCCUGUCAGCCCUGAACAUGUAUCCCAAAGUGGCAGAGUUCUAAAAAUAUUGUAAAGUUUGAACUUCAACCCAAUUUGAAAGAGACAACUUUUCCAGGCUCCAAGUCUGGUAUUGCCCUCAAUGCAACAAUCAUGUCUGUUCAUUGUCUGUUGACAUUUGACAAUAAGCCAUUGUAGAACCACAUGUUUGUCGUAAAUUGGGACUUCAAUGUAGGGCUUUUACAUGGAAAAUUAGUUUUCACCUUUCGGUGUCUCAUUCAUUGUGUAUUCUAGACUUAUAGUUUAAAACUUAAUUCUUUUUUACCUACGCGUUUAUCCUCAUAUUCCAUGUCUUGAUUGACAGAGAUCGUUAUCAGAGCAGGAGCUAAAGAAGUCUUUGUUGGCAGCAGAAUGCAUGCAUCAUCAAAACAUUCUGGUCUUAGUAGGAUUGAUUCACAGAAGGAUGUUAUAUUUGUUGGUGUUUGAAACAUGGAAUGUUUAGACCAUUGGCUUUUGACUUGGGUAAGUGGCUUCUUCAAAAGAGUCUAUAACUCACUUUUG